AGCCGAGCGGUAGAGAUUCUUCGGAAUCUUGAGAGCGGCGUACGGGUGCGGAACACGUGUGCAACCUACCUUUAUCAGGGGGAUAGCCUUUCGAAAGGAAGAUUAAUACCCCAUAAUAUAUUGAAUGGCAUCAUUUAAUAUUGAAAACUCCGGUGGAUAGAGAUGGGCACGCGCAAGAUUAGAUAGUUGGUAGGGUAACGGCCUACCAAGUCAAUGAUCUUUAGGGGGCCUGAGAGGGUGAUCCCCCACACUGGUACUGAGACACGGACCAGACUCCUACGGGAGGCAGCAGUGAGGAAUAUUGGACAAUGGGUGAGAGCCUGAUCCAGCCAUCCCGCGUGAAGGACGACGGCCCUAUGGGUUGUAAACUUCUUUUGUAUAGGGAUAAACCUACUCUCGUGAGAGUAGCUGAAGGUACUAUACGAAUAAGCACCGGCUAACUCCGUGCCAGCAGCCGCGGUAAUACGGAGGGUGCAAGCGUUAUCCGGAUUUAUUGGGUUUAAAGGGUCCGUAGGGCGGAUCUGUAAGUCAGUGGUGAAAUCUCAUAGCUUAACUAUGAAACUGCCAUUGAUACUGCAGGUCUUGNAGUAAAGUAGAAGUGGCUGGAAUAAGUAGUGUAGCGGUGAAAUGCAUAGAUAUUACUUAGAACACCAAUUGCGAAGGCAGGUCACUAUGUUUUAACUGACGCUGAUGGACGAAAGCGUGGGGAGCGAACAGGAUUAGAUACCCUGGUAGUCCACGCCGUAAACGAUGCUAACUCGUUUUUGGGUUUUCGGAUUCAGAGACUAAGCGAAAGUGAUAAGUUAGCCACCUGGGGAGUACGUUCGCAAGAAUGAAACUCAAAGGAAUUGACGGGGGCCCGCACAAGCGGUGGAUUAUGUGGUUUAAUUCGAUGAUACGCGAGGAACCUUACCAAGGCUUAAAUGGGAAUUGACAGGUUUAGAAAUAGACUUUUCUUCGGACAAUUUUCAAGGUGCUGCAUGGUUGUCGUCAGCUCGUGCCGUGAGGUGUUAGGUUAAGUCCUGCAACGAGCGCAACCCCUGUCACUAGUUGCCAUCAUUCAGUUGGGGACUCUAGUGAGACUGCCUACGCAAGUAGAGAGGAAGGUGGGGAUGACGUCAAAUCAUCACGGCCCUUACGCCUUGGGCCACACACGUAAUACAAUGGCCAGUACAGAGGGCAGCUACCAGGCGACUGGAUGCGAAUCUCGAAAGCUGGUCUCAGUUCGGAUUGGAGUCUGCAACUCGACUCUAUGAAGCUGAAUCG
RNAcentral lists this ribosomal RNA (1266 nucleotides) under Chryseobacterium sp. RNAcentral describes it as "bacterial SSU rRNA". It matches the Rfam family "Bacterial small subunit ribosomal RNA", at positions 60 to 1334 of the family's 1533-position model. Lineage: Bacteria; Pseudomonadati; Bacteroidota; Flavobacteriia; Flavobacteriales; Weeksellaceae. The record is from RNAcentral.